RNAcentral lists this ribosomal RNA (465 nucleotides) under uncultured bacterium. Its description in RNAcentral is "partial 16S ribosomal RNA". It matches the Rfam family "Bacterial small subunit ribosomal RNA", at positions 338 to 795 of the family's 1533-position model. The record is from RNAcentral.
CCUACGUGAUGCAGCAGUAGGGAAUCUUCCACAAUGUGCGAAAGCCUGAUGGAGCAACGCCGCGUGGGUGAAGAAGGUCUUCGGAUCGUAAAACCCUGUUGUUAGAGAAGAAAGUGCGUGAGAGUAACUGUUCACGUUUCGACGGUAUCUAACCAGAAAGCCACGGCUAACUACGUGCCAGCAGCAGCGGUAAUACGUAGGUGGCAAGCGUUAUCCGGAUGUAUUGGGCGUAAAGGGAACGCAGGCGGGCUUUUAAGUCUGAUGUGAAAGCCUUCGGCUUAACCGGAGUAGUGCAUUGGAAACUGGGAGACUUGAGUGCAGAAGAGGAGAGGGGAACUCCAUGGGUAGCGGUGAAAUGCGUAGAUAUAUGGAAGAACACCAGUGGCGAAAGCGGCUCUCUGGUCUGUAACUGACGCUGAGGUUCGAAAGCGUGGGUAGCAAACAGGAUUAGAUACCCGGGUAGUC